UACGUAGGGUGCAAGCGUUGUCCGGAAUUAUUGGGCGUAAAGAGCUCGUAGGCGGUUUGUCGCGUCGGAUGUGAAAACCCGGGGCUCAACCCCGGGCCUGCAUUCGAUACGGGCAGACUAGAGUUCGGUAGGGGAGUCUGGAAUUCCUGGUGUAGCGGUGAAAUGCGCAGAUAUCAGGAGGAACACCGGUGGCGAAGGCGGGACUCUGGGCAGAUACUGACGCUGAGGAGCGAAAGCGUGGGGAGCAAACAGG
RNAcentral lists this ribosomal RNA (253 nucleotides) under uncultured bacterium. RNAcentral's name for it is "partial 16S ribosomal RNA". It matches the Rfam family "Bacterial small subunit ribosomal RNA", at positions 524 to 776 of the family's 1533-position model. The record is from RNAcentral.